Non-coding RNA from Neotoma lepida (desert woodrat), 46 nucleotides. The record is from Rfam. NCBI's taxonomy places the organism in Eukaryota, Metazoa, Chordata, Mammalia, Rodentia, Cricetidae.
AUAAAGGCUUUUUUAAAAGACAUUAAUAUCAACUUUACUAAGAUGU